Molecule: ribosomal RNA, 253 nt
Filed under: uncultured bacterium
Lineage: Bacteria
Description: partial 16S ribosomal RNA
Rfam family: Bacterial small subunit ribosomal RNA
Source: RNAcentral
UACGUAGGGCGCAAGCGUUAUCCGGAAUUAUUGGGCGUAAAGAGCUCGUAGGCGGUUUGUCGCGUCUGCCGUGAAAGUCCGGGGCUCAACUCCGGAUCUGCGGUGGGUACGGGCAGACUAGAGUGAUGUAGGGGAGACUGGAAUUCCUGGUGUAGCGGUGAAAUGCGCAGAUAUCAGGAGGAACACCGAUGGCGAAGGCAGGUCUCUGGGCAUUAACUGACGCUGAGGCACGAAAGCGUGGGUAGCAAACAGG